This 118-nucleotide ribosomal RNA is filed under the name Sinocyclocheilus grahami. The record is from RNAcentral. Lineage: Eukaryota; Metazoa; Chordata; Actinopteri; Cypriniformes; Cyprinidae.
GUCAGCAGCCGUAUCACCCUGUAGCCCAAGACUGGUUGCCCACUGAAGCCAAGCAGGGUUGAGCCUGGCCAGUACCUUGAUGGGAGACCUCCUGGGAAAAACUAGGUUGCUGCUGGAA